Molecule: ribosomal RNA, 440 nt
Filed under: uncultured bacterium
Lineage: Bacteria
Description: SSU rRNA
Rfam family: Bacterial small subunit ribosomal RNA
Source: RNAcentral
AGAAUGAACGCUGGCGGCAGGCCUAACACAUGCAAGUCGAACGGGUCCUUCGGGACUAGUGGCGGACGGGUGAGUAACGCGUGGGAACAUGCCCAAAGGUACGGAAUAGCCUCGGGAAACUGGGAGUAAUACCGUAUGUGCCCGAAAGGGGAAAGAUUUAUCGCCUUUGGAUUGGCCCGCGUUGGAUUAGGUAGUUGGUGGGGUAAUGGCCUACCAAGCCGACGAUCCAUAGCUGGUUUGAGAGGAUGAUCAGCCACACUGGGACUGAGACACGGCCCAGACUCCUACGGGAGGCAGCAGUGGGGAAUCUUAGACAAUGGGGGCAACCCUGAUCUAGCCAUGCCGCGUGAUCGAUGAAGGCCUUAGGGUUGUAAAGAUCUUUCAGUGGGGAAGAUAAUGACGUACCACAGAGAAGCCCGCUACUCCGUGCCAGCAGCCGC